GAGUAAUGCCUGGGGAUCUGCCCAGUCGAGGGGGAUAACUACUGGAAACGGUAGCUAAUACCGCAUACGCCCUACGGGGGAAAGCAGGGGACCUUCGGGCCUUGCGCGAUUGGAUGAACCCAGGUGGGAUUAGCUAGUUGGUGAGGUAAUGGCUCACCAAGGCGACGAUCCCUAGCUGGUCUGAGAGGAUGAUCAGCCACACUGGAACUGAGACACGGUCCAGACUCCUACGGGAGGCAGCAGUGGGGAAUAUUGCACAAUGGGGGAAACCCUGAUGCAGCCAUGCCGCGUGUGUGAAGAAGGCCUUCGGGUUGUAAAGCACUUUCAGCGAGGAGGAAAGGUUGGUAGCUAAUAACUGCCAGCUGUGACGUUACUCGCAGAAGAA
Molecule: ribosomal RNA, 385 nt
Filed under: Aeromonas veronii
Lineage: Bacteria; Pseudomonadati; Pseudomonadota; Gammaproteobacteria; Aeromonadales; Aeromonadaceae
Description: bacterial SSU rRNA
Rfam family: Bacterial small subunit ribosomal RNA
Source: RNAcentral